Molecule: ribosomal RNA, 586 nt
Filed under: uncultured Planctomycetota bacterium
Lineage: Bacteria; Pseudomonadati; Planctomycetota
Description: bacterial SSU rRNA
Rfam family: Bacterial small subunit ribosomal RNA
Source: RNAcentral
GGCUGCAGUCGAGGAUCUUCGGCAAUGGGGGAAACCCUGACCGAGCGACGCCGCGUGCGAGAUGAAGGCCUUCGGGUUGUAAAUCGCUGUCGUAGGGGAGGAAAUACUGGUGGGUUCUCCCAUCAGUUUGACCUAUCCUAGGAGGAAGGACGGGCUAAGUUCGUGCCAGCAGCCGCGGUAAUACGGACCGUCCAAACGUUAUUCGGAAUCACUGGGCUUAAAGGGUGCGUAGGCGGCCCGGAAAGUUGGGUGUGAAAUACCUCGGCUCAACCGAGGAACUGCGCCCAAAACUGCCGGGCUCGAGGGAGACAUAGGUGUGCGGAACUUAGAGUGGAGCGGUGAAAUGCGUUGAGAUCCUAGGGAACACCAGUAGCGAAAGCGGCACACUGGGUCUCUUCUGACGCUGAUGCACGAAAGCUAGGGGAGCGAAGAGGAUUAGAUACCCUCGUAGUCCUAGCCGUAAACGAUGAGCACUGGUUUGGAGGCUCCUCCAUAGGCUUCCAGACGUAGCGAAAGUGUUAAGUGCUCCGCCUGGGGAUUAUGGUCGCAAGGCUGAAACUCAAAGGAAUUGACGGGGGCUCACACA